UAAACGGGAGCUUGAAGUUAAGCAUCUGGCUGUUAACCAGGGAGAUACGAGGUCGUUCUCGUUCGUUUAG
RNAcentral lists this transfer RNA (70 nucleotides) under Saccoglossus kowalevskii. RNAcentral describes it as "tRNA-Asn". It matches the Rfam family "tRNA". From Rfam's summary of the family: Transfer RNA (tRNA) molecules are approximately 80 nucleotides in length. Their secondary structure includes four short double-helical elements and three loops (D, anti-codon, and T loops). Lineage: Eukaryota; Metazoa; Hemichordata; Enteropneusta; Harrimaniidae. The record is from RNAcentral.